UUGUUAGAGGGAUGUAGAGCAUUGCAUGUUUGAGUCUUGUGCCACUUCCAUAAUGUUUCCACGCCUGUUCUGCCCUUCUCUUCCAG
Molecule: microRNA precursor, 86 nt
Filed under: Mus caroli (Ryukyu mouse)
Lineage: Eukaryota; Metazoa; Chordata; Mammalia; Rodentia; Muridae
Description: microRNA 7039 (MGP_CAROLIEiJ_G0008001.1)
Source: RNAcentral